RNAcentral lists this ribosomal RNA (541 nucleotides) under uncultured bacterium. RNAcentral describes it as "bacterial SSU rRNA". It matches the Rfam family "Bacterial small subunit ribosomal RNA", at positions 355 to 896 of the family's 1533-position model. The record is from RNAcentral.
UAAGGAAUAUUGGUCAAUGGACGCAAGUCUGAACCAGCCAUGCCGCGUGAAGGAUUAAGGUCCUCUGGAUUGUAAACUUCUUUUAUCUGGGACGAAAAAAGGCGAUUCUUCGUCACUUGACGGUACCAGAUGAAUAAGCACCGGCUAACUCCGUGCCAGCAGCCGCGGUAAUACGGAGGGUGCAAGCGUUAUCCGGAUUCACUGGGUUUAAAGGGUGCGUAGGCGGGCAGGUAAGUCAGUGGUGAAAUCCUAGAGCUUAACUCUAGAACUGCCAUUGAUACUAUCUGUCUUGAAUAUUGUGGAGGUAAGCGGAAUAUGUCAUGUAGCGGUGAAAUGCUUAGAUAUGACAUAGAACACCUAUUGCGAAGGCAGCUUACUACGCAUAUAUUGACGCUGAGGCACGAAAGCGUGGGGAUCAAACAGGAUUAGAUACCCUGGUAGUCCACGCCCUAAACGAUGAUUACUCGACAUUUGUGAUACACUAUAAGUGUCUGAGCGAAAGCAUUAAGUAAUCCACCUGGGAAGUACGACCGCAAGGUUG